RNAcentral lists this long non-coding RNA (263 nucleotides) under Medicago truncatula (barrel medic). RNAcentral describes it as "lncRNA gene42934". The record is from RNAcentral. Lineage: Eukaryota; Viridiplantae; Streptophyta; Magnoliopsida; Fabales; Fabaceae.
GGGUUGAAGGAAUUUCAAUGUUGAUUAUCUUUGUUGGCCAUCCAGAAAAGUUUGACUUAAACUCCUCCUCAUCACAGUGAUAUGUAUUGGUACCUACUUGCUUUCCUCCAGAAAAAUGCUUCCAAUAUUUAUUACUUGCUCUACAGUACUUGGAAAAAGGCAUCAUCCACAAUGACGAAGCAAAGGAGUUGAACAUCAAUCGAGCUGUAACCUCAGAUACUGGAAGACCAAAUGUGAAUCCAGAAAGUGUUGCUUCAAUGGUU